This 77-nucleotide transfer RNA is filed under the name bacterium. Its description in RNAcentral is "tRNA-Ala". It matches the Rfam family "tRNA". Rfam says of the family: Transfer RNA (tRNA) molecules are approximately 80 nucleotides in length. Their secondary structure includes four short double-helical elements and three loops (D, anti-codon, and T loops). Further hydrogen bonds mediate the characteristic L-shaped molecular structure. tRNAs have two regions of fundamental functional importance: the anti-codon, which is responsible for specific mRNA codon recognition, and the 3' end, to which the tRNAs corresponding amino acid is attached (by aminoacyl-tRNA synthetases). tRNAs cope with the degeneracy of the genetic code in two manners: having more than one tRNA (with a specific anti-codon) for a particular amino acid; and 'wobble' base-pairing, i.e. permitting non-standard base-pairing at the 3rd anti-codon position. The record is from RNAcentral.
GGGGCAUUGGCGCAGUUGGUUAGCGCGCCUCGCUGGCAGUGAGGAGGCCAUCGGUUCGAAUCCGAUAUGCUCCACCA